AAGCAAGAAACUAUUAGUAAUACGGUUUCGGCCCGUACAAAGGCUUAAAUAUAGCCCUUGCUUU
RNAcentral lists this transfer RNA (64 nucleotides) under Mutela dubia. Its description in RNAcentral is "tRNA-Arg". Lineage: Eukaryota; Metazoa; Mollusca; Bivalvia; Unionida; Mutelidae. The record is from RNAcentral.